GGGUGUUCGGCCACACUGGGACUGAGAUACGGCCCAGACUCCUACGGGAGGCAGCAGUAGGGAAUAUUGCGCAAUGGACGAAAGUCUGACGCAGCAACGCCGCGUGGGUGAUGAAGUUUUUCGGAACGUAAAACCCUGUCGGGAGGGAAGAAACUCUCAAUUUUUAUUGGGACUGACGGUACCUCCAGAGGAAGCUCCGGCCAACUCCGUGCCAGCAGCCGCGGUAACACGGGGGGAGCAAGCGUUGUUCGGAUUCACUGGGCGUAAAGGGCGUGUAGGCGGAUGGGUCAGUCAGAUGUGAAAUCUCAAGGCUUAACCUUGGGCCUGCAUUUGAUACUGCUCAUCUAGAGUAUGGGAGAGGAGAUCGGAAUUCCUGGUGUAGCGGUGAAAUGCGUAGAUAUCAGGAAGAACACCGGUGGCGAAGGCGGAUCUCUGGCCUAAUACUGACGCUGAGGCGCGAAAGCUGGGGGAGCAAACAGGAUUAGAUACCCUGGUAGUCCCAGCCGUAAACGAUGGGCACUAGGUGUUGGAGGUAUUGAUCCCUUCAGUGCCGGAGCUAACGCAUUAAGUGCCCCGCCUGGGGAGUACGCUCGCAAGGGUGAAACUCAAAGGAAUUGACGGGGGCCCGCACAAGCGGUGGAGCAUGUGGUUUAAUUCGAUGCAACGCGAAGAACCUUACCGGGGUUUGACAUGCCCGUCGCACCUUGAUGAAAGUCGAGGGUCAGUUCGGCUGGACGGUGCACAGGUGCUGCAUGGCUGUCGUCAGCUCGUGUCGUGAGAUGUUGGGUUAAGUCCCGCAACGAGCGCAACCCUUACCCUUAGUUGCCAGCACAUAAUGGUGGGAACUCUAAGGGGACUGCCCCGGAUAACGGGGAGGAAGGUGGGGAUGACGUCAAGUCCUCAUGGCCCUUAUACCCCGGGCUACACACGUGCUACAAUGGCCGGUACAGAGGGCAUCGCGAAACCGCGAGGUGGAGCAAAUCCCAGAAAACCGGUCUCAGUUCGGAUUGGAGUCUGCAACUCGACUCCAUGAAGUCGGAAUCGCUAGUAAUCGCGAAUCAGCAGGUCGCGGUGAAUACGUUCCCGGGCCUUGUACACACCGCCCGUCAAGCGAUGGAAGCCGGUGGUACCCGAAGUCAGUAUCCUAACUUUUCGGAGAGGGAGCUGCCGAAGGUAAAACUGGUGACUGGCGCUAAGUCGUAACAAGGUA
This 1210-nucleotide ribosomal RNA is filed under the name metagenome. RNAcentral describes it as "bacterial SSU rRNA". It matches the Rfam family "Bacterial small subunit ribosomal RNA", at positions 298 to 1498 of the family's 1533-position model. The record is from RNAcentral.